Molecule: long non-coding RNA, 1120 nt
Organism: Xenopus laevis (African clawed frog)
Lineage: Eukaryota; Metazoa; Chordata; Amphibia; Anura; Pipidae
Exons: 5
Source: RefSeq, a predicted model, not a curated record
GCCAUGAGAGCCUGGUAGCCGGGCUGAGCGGGGGAGUCAUCUCCACUCCGGUGCUGCACCCGCUCGACUUGGUUAAGAUCCGAUUCGCAGAUACUGCAAUGCUAUACUAAUGGGCACGGCUGCUGGGAGUUCUUGGAGCGAUGGUCUGGAGUUACGGCCCAAAUACAGAGGCAUCAUGCAUUGUUUGGCCACAGUCUGCCAGCGAGAGGGACUUCAAGGUCUGAACCAAGGAGUCACCCCUAAUAUGUGGGGAGCUGGAGCCUCUUGGGGCUUGUACUUCUUCUUGUUAGUAUUGAUAUUUUACGUGUGAGUGAUGCUGGGUGCUCAAGUGGAUCUGAAAUAUAGAGCAGGUGGAGCUUUAACUCUAUGCUUUACAAACCCAAUAUGGGUUACUAAGACCCGGCUGGUUCUGCAAUAUGAUUCUGGGAAUGACUCCUCAAAGCUUCAGUACAGAGGAAUGUUCCAUGCACUUGGCAAGAUUUACAGGAACGAAGGCAUACCUGGGCUCUACAAGUGUUUACACUACACCCUAAGGUGCACAAGGCCUGUGCUGCAGAUGAGUGGGGCCAGAUGCUGAGUUGAAAGAGUCGGGUAGUGUCAUCAAACAGGAGCUCACCAAAUCUGUCUUUCAUCAAUUCCCUCUUCAGCAAUCUGUUUUCAAGCAGCAAACUGGCAGCCGAAUACAUCAAUGGAGGAUGUCUGUUUAUUGGAAGUCCUGGGGCCAGAAACAGGAUAAGACACAAACGUGCACAUACAGUAGAGUGGUCUCAAGAGGCCCCUGAAAAUCAGCUUCUUUGGUGGGUUCUUACAAUAUUCGAUAUGAAAAGAGUCCAGAGCUCCAGUAUUUAAUAUUCCCAACAUAAGGUGACCCUCUUAUCAGUGGAGUAACUAGAUGUCGCUGGAGUCCACAGCAAAUUCAAUUUAGGGCCCCAUAAUAUUGAUAAGUGUGUUUUAUUUUACGCAAUGCUAACGCCAGAUUUUCCGCUGUAAUUUUACACUACUUCAGAUCUUUGUAAGUAAGUUCUGGCGGAAGUUACUGAAAGAAAACACCAACAUAUAUUUUUACAUGCCUGGCAUGUAUGGCGAACUAUUCUGACGUUUUUUUAUACCACAUAAUAAA